UUCCCUUACUUAACGGAACCAUGUUCUUUUACCAGACACAAUACUUGAAAAUCGACUCGUCAGUAUUAGGUAUCUCCAAGGUUUUUGGUCAGGCAACAAUGCUUCUAUGGGGCGUUAUAUAUAAUCGAUACCUGAAAUCUAUAUCACCUAGGAAACUGAUAUCAGCGAUUCAAGAAACAAUUGCAUUCUUAAUGAUUUCAGAUGUCUUAUUUGUGCGCGGUUUCUAUAGACAAAUGGGCGUGCCGGAUACACUCUAUGUUGUGAUUUUCUCAGGAUUCUUGGAGGUUCUAUUUUUCUUUAAGUUUCUUCCUUUCACUGUGUUAUUAGCACAGCUAUGUCCACAAGGUUGAGAAGGGUCAAUAAUGGCAUUUCUUAUGUCUGCUGUUGCAUUGGCAUUCAUUGUGAGUGGAUACCUUGGUGUUGCACUUGCAUCUUAUAUUAAGAUAACAGGAAGUGAUUUUUCAGGAUUAUCACUUGGACUUGUGAUACAAGCUUCAUGUACUUUGUUGCCAAUAUUUUGGUCAUCAUGCAUACCUGAAUAUGUAAAAACAAAAGACAAGCAUAAAGACUAAUUAAUGUAAUAGCUUUUAGAAAUGUGAUAGUGAUUUAAGGUGUUGAGCAAAUUUUGCGUUCCAUUUAUCAGUAACGUAGUUUAUGUUGGUGCGAGAUUUUUUCCAGUAGGAUUGUAAUUUUCUAAUUUCAUGUUUAGUAAAGAAAAAAAUGUUUAGUAAAUGUUUACAGAAAAGCAAAGCCAAACAAGUGGUUGAAGAAGGCACAAUUAAAAGCAAAAGGUAUGAAAUCAUAUUGAAAAAGUGAACAAUCUCACACAGUUAAAAAUUGAGUCAACUUUUAUAUACUACUAUUCUUUAUGGUCUUUGCCACUUUUUUCCUCAACCCUGUUUCAGUUAAAUUAUGAGAUUUCUAAAUAUCAAUUUAAGAAUGCUCAUGUAACUUAUAAUAUGAGGUUGAUUAUAAAGAAUACGUUGGAAAAGUGAUCUUAUAUAGGCAGUUGUCUGAAAAUAAUCUCAAUUAUUGGAUCAUAAGAUGGUGGAGAUAUGUUACGACAAAACUGCCAAGAGAGGUGUGAAAGUAGAUAGUAUAAAAAUGGCUUUUAGUCCCACAUUGCUAGCAAAGAAAAAUAACACAUGUGAAGUUGUUAUAUAUAAGAUUGCAAGUGAAUUACUAACAAUUGCAGUUUCGCAGAGGUGCCUAGCCUAUUGGCUAUCGCUGUCCCAAUGCCACCGUUCCCCUGUCAUCUUUACUAGCGAAACUGCGGACUUCUCCGACUUUUCAUUUGAUCGGUAGCAGUAGUUUUGGUGGUAACUUUGGCAUUGGACCAGUGGCGUUGGACGGUUUAAAAGUCAAAAAUUUCUUUAGACAUCAUAACCUUGAUUAUUUUCUGUUUUGUUUUCAAAUUAGCUUGUUAGCUCUCUAUCUCAAGAUAUUUAUUUUGAAGUAGAUUAAAUUAGCCAAAAAAACCAAUCAUUCGUGUGUUCUUGGUGGGUAUUUCUGGAUUCACUAGCUUCUUUAGAUUUUCUUCUAUGAUCAAGACAUGGUUGGUGAUGCCUAUUCUUUCCAUGUCCUGCAAACUAUUUACGACACUGUGUCUAUGAGAAGUAUCAAGAACCUAGUGUGUUUAUCAUUUGCAAACAAUAAUGGUACAGACAUACUCAAAGACUUAAGACAACCUCACAAAACCGAUUUGUACGAUGGUAAUUGUCCUCACUUAUAAACACACCAUCUCUGAUCCGAUGUAGGACUUUUUAACACUCUUCAAAUUGGAAUUAAUAUGGCAAACCAAUUAAAUAUCAAUGACAUCAUUUUUGAGAUCAAUUCUUUAGUAGUAGUCGUUAAUAUGGUUACAUUUCUCUGUCAAAAAAAAAAAAAAAAUAGGGUUACAUUUGGUUCAUUACUACACUAAUAUAUGUGAUUAUGUAAAUUUUUUAAAUUAUUACCGGUGUCCCGACGUGUUUGUGUUGUGUUUGUGUCCGUUCAUAGGUUGCCAACUUUGAUGUUGUGAAAAUUUGGGUGAAUUACUGACUAUUUACUGUUUAAUUGCUUCCUUGAGAUUGGGAAUUGAUAGUUUGUUGUUAUUUUUGUUUGAAAAAUGAAGGAAUGAAUGAAUGAUCCUGUUUGUGUAUCGCACUGUGACAAUGGUUACUAAUAACUUUGGAUACAAAAUUGAAUUCAAUGAUAGGAGUCUCUAGUGUGUAUCUCAUAUUGGAUCCAUAUCCCUAUUAUGUUAAACCUAAGAUAGAUCUUAAUCUAUUCCAAUGAAUCAUUACCUUUCUUGUGAAUUUGGUGUGGUCAGCCACUUUUCUUUUUUCAUUUGAUUUAUAUGACUUGAGUCUUAAUCAUUUUUAGGUUCAUAUAUGAGAUUAAUUUUCAUACGUUGACAAUGUAUUAUUUUUACAUAUGUAUCUGGUCAAAUUUGGAGAGAAUUUUUAGGAAUGAUGUGAUUUGAUUGAAUGCAUGUGUAAAAAAGUUAUACAUUGCCGGUGCGUACAAAUUAGAUAUAUGAUAUAUUAGCUUAUAAAUUUGUACUCGAAAAUAUCAUAUUUUUAAUAGUAAUAUAUCUUACGAUUCAUUAUAAGAUUCGAUCCACAAUUUGGAAAAUAGUUCUUCCGGUUGAUGUUAUGAUCUCAAAUCGAUAACAAUGUCUAUGACAACUAUGAGGGAACUUUUAGUUUUAUAAGAAUUGGGUUUGGUGUGUGUAGAACUUUUAUAAUCAAGGAGUAUGGCUGAAACUUCUUGAAUGUGGUCCUUCAUUGGGAUACUUUGAAAAAUCAUAAAGAAAAAGGAAUGAAAAAAAAAAGUAGGAUUAAGAUUCCAAAAUUGAAAAAGAAUGAGGUUGAAUUUUUACAUAUUUUUAUUUUAUUUUGUUUGAACAUAAUAAUGAAUACAGUCCAUAUGAAAACGAAGAAGAUAACCAACGUAACUAACAAAUAACAAACUUUUUCUUUAUUAAGAACAUUUCUUCUCCUUAUAUGUGGUUCCUGUUGAGUGUAUGGUGAUCUGAUCAUUUUGAAUCAGCCAUUUCCCUUAAAGCAGUAGUUCUAUCAUAUGGAAACUAGAACUUGAGUUAUAUAUGACAUUUUUAUUUUACUUUGGAGUUUGAGUUUUAUGGUCUUCUACUGUUGAAAAAGCAAAUCUGAUUGCAACUUUAACUUGAGGCAAUGAUCAGCACUGUUUCUAAGAACACAAGCAAAUGCUACUUCAAAUUGAAAAAAUGCUGCAUUUUUUAGUUAUCUUCAUUUUGAAUUUUAUUUCAUGGGCUUUUUUACAUCAGCAAGUGCUUAUCGGAUCAUCCCUGUAAGUUCGAUUCUGAUACACCUUUUCUACCAAUAAUGCAUGGGACUAGGAUUGUGAACAUACAAUGCCGCACUGCAAUCAUUACCCCUGCAUUGUUCAUUCCAUUUAGCAUAAAAGGUUGAUAUAAUUAAACCUUCUCAUGCAUUUAUUGGUAUUUGGGGUCAUAUUUUUCUUAGGUGUGAGUGUGACAUGAUGGAGUUGAUACUGGCCUUUUCAGUUAUGUUCAUAAGAGCAGCUUUGUUGACAUUUUUCCAAUUUCAUGCAAGCUGUCUUAUUAAGGAAAAGUUGUUAAAUUUCGACAAAGCUUUAAGGAUAAUCAUAUCUAUUUCAUUGUUUAUCAUGUUAUUGCAUUUCUAAUUUGUACUUCCAUUGUUAAAUAUUUCCUUAAAUUUGUUUAUGCAGCUUUCUUGCAGGCACUGUCAUGGCUAGCAAUAGCAAUCUCUCCGUCAAGCAUAUCUGUUUUCACUAUCUCUAUAUAUCUUCUUAGUAUUCUAGGAGCUUCAAUAACUGAGGUAGGAAAUGAUGCCAUCGUUGCCGAGUUGGGUAAACAGCCUCCGUCUUCAACCAAGCACUCUCAACAACCAUCUUCCUCAGGCAAUCUUCAAUCCUUUGCUUGGAUAGCUUCCUCUGUAGGAGGAGUUCCCGACAACCUUCUUGGCGGCAUUUUCAUCAGCCGCCUCUCCACAAUCCAUGUUUAUGUUUUUCAGCCUUGUCGUUGCUCUCCAAUUCUUCACAACCAUUUCGGUUCGCGAAAGCUCUCUUGGACUUCCAAGGAAUCCAUCUAUUGGGAUAAAGAAACAGCUUUCAGAACUAUUGGUCGCAUUAAGAAAACCUGAAAUCGCUUAUUCAAUCUCAUGGUUUGCAUUAUCUUAUGCGGUUGUUCCCUUACUUAACGGAACCAUGUUCUUUUACCAGACACAAUACUUGAAAAUCGACUCGUCAGUAUUAGGUAUCUCCAAGGUUUUUGGUCAGGCAACAAUGCUUCUAUGGGGCGUUAUAUAUAAUCGAUACCUGAAAUCUAUAUCACCUAGGAAACUGAUAUCAGCGAUUCAAGUAACAAUUGCAUUCUUAAUGAUUUCAGAUGUCUUAUUUGUGCGCGGUUUCUAUAGACAAAUGGGCGUGCCGGAUACACUCUAUGUUGUGAUUUUCUCAGGAUUCUUGGAGGUUCU
Molecule: long non-coding RNA, 4481 nt
Filed under: Medicago truncatula (barrel medic)
Lineage: Eukaryota; Viridiplantae; Streptophyta; Magnoliopsida; Fabales; Fabaceae
Description: long non-coding RNA (MTRU_LNC008198)
Source: RNAcentral